RNAcentral lists this ribosomal RNA (490 nucleotides) under uncultured bacterium. Its description in RNAcentral is "partial 16S ribosomal RNA". It matches the Rfam family "Bacterial small subunit ribosomal RNA", at positions 30 to 507 of the family's 1533-position model. The record is from RNAcentral.
AUUGAACGCUGGCGGCAGGCCUAACACAUGCAAGUCGAACGGUAACAGGAAGAAGCUUGCUUCUUUGCUGACGAGUGGCGGACGUGUGAGUAAUGUCUGUGAAACUGCCUGAUGGAGGGGGAUAACUACUGGAAACGGUAGCUAAUACCGCAUAACGUCGCAAGACCAAAGAGGGGGACCUUCGGGCCUCUUGCCAUCGGAUGUGCCCAGAUGGGAUUAGCUAGUAGGUGGGGUAACGGCUCACCUAGGCGACGAUCCCUAGCUGGUCUGAGAGGAUGACCAGCCACACUGGAACUGAGACACGGUCCAGACUCCUACGGGAGGCAGCAGUGGGGAAUAUUGCACAAUGGGCGCAAGCCUGAUGCAGCCAUGCCGCGUGUAUGAAGAAGGCCUUCGGGUUGUAAAGUACUUUCAGCGGGGAGGAAGGGAGUAAAGUUAAUAACUUUGCUCAUUGACGUUACCCGCAGAAGAAGCACCGGCUAACUCCGUG